AGUGUUUCACUCAAUCACUCAAGUGUUUAGGGUGACACUGCAACUCUCUAUCAUUCACAAGUCACAAGAAAUAAAAUUGCCAUUCAUCUCAAACAAUAAACAUCUUUACAUGCAAAUGCCAUCAAAAGGACUUUUCCAAGGCUUGUAAUGAGGUUAGGCUAACAAGAAGAAUUGGUUUUUUCUAGAAUGCAAAGUCCUUGAAUCAAGAGAGCUAUAAUAAUAGUCAUCAUUUGAGCACAACUCUCUUCCUCACCAAUCUCACUCAUUCUCAACGUUUUCCCUUUUCCUUUUUUUUUCAUUGAGCUCAUCUUCAUGCUUUUCUUCUUUUCUUUUCUUUUUGUCAUGAAUUUUUCUUUUCACAACAUUUGAGCUCAAUGUUUUUCACUUGCCUUUCAAUUCCCCCAUGCAACCCCAAACUUGAACCUUUUUCUCACAUACAAUUAAGCUCAUCCCAACUCAAGGUAAAGAAUUUCAAGACA
Molecule: long non-coding RNA, 479 nt
Filed under: Vigna radiata
Lineage: Eukaryota; Viridiplantae; Streptophyta; Magnoliopsida; Fabales; Fabaceae
Description: long non-coding RNA (VRAD_LNC006636)
Source: RNAcentral